GGGGCUAUAGCUCAGCUGGGAGAGCGCCUCGCUGGCAGCGAGGAGGUCGACGGUUCGAUCCCGUCUAGCUCCA
RNAcentral lists this transfer RNA (73 nucleotides) under Pseudoalteromonas luteoviolacea DSM 6061. It matches the Rfam family "tRNA". Rfam says of the family: Transfer RNA (tRNA) molecules are approximately 80 nucleotides in length. Their secondary structure includes four short double-helical elements and three loops (D, anti-codon, and T loops). The record is from Rfam by way of RNAcentral. Lineage: Bacteria; Pseudomonadati; Pseudomonadota; Gammaproteobacteria; Alteromonadales; Pseudoalteromonadaceae.